UACGAAGGGGGCUAGCGUUGUUCGGAAUCACUGGGCGUAAAGCGCACGUAGGCGGAUCUUUAAGUCAGGGGUGAAAUCCCGAGGCUCAACCUCGGAACUGCCUUUGAUACUGGGGAUCUCGAGUCCGGGAGAGGUGAGUGGAACUGCGAGUGUAGAGGUGAAAUUCGUAGAUAUUCGCAAGAACACCAGUGGCGAAGGCGGCUCACUGGCCCGGUUCUGACGCUGAGGCGCGAAAGCGUGGGGAGCAAACAGG
Molecule: ribosomal RNA, 253 nt
Filed under: uncultured bacterium
Lineage: Bacteria
Description: partial 16S ribosomal RNA
Rfam family: Bacterial small subunit ribosomal RNA
Source: RNAcentral